UACGUAGGGUGCGAGCGUUAAUCGGAAUUACUGGGCGUAAAGCGUGCGCAGGCGGUUUUGUAAGCCAGAUGUGAAAUCCCCGGGCUUAACCUGGGAACUGCAUUUGUGACUGCAUAGCUAGAGUACGGUAGAGGGGGAUGGAAUUCCGCGUGUAGCAGUGAAAUGCGUAGAGAUGCGGAGGAACACCGAUGGCGAAGGCAGCCCCCUGGGCUAACACUGACGCUCAGGCACGAAAGCGUGGGGAGCAAACAGG
RNAcentral lists this ribosomal RNA (253 nucleotides) under uncultured bacterium. RNAcentral's name for it is "partial 16S ribosomal RNA". It matches the Rfam family "Bacterial small subunit ribosomal RNA", at positions 524 to 776 of the family's 1533-position model. The record is from RNAcentral.